Molecule: ribosomal RNA, 404 nt
Filed under: Actinomycetes bacterium
Lineage: Bacteria; Bacillati; Actinomycetota; Actinomycetes
Description: Actinobacteria bacterium partial 16S ribosomal RNA
Rfam family: Bacterial small subunit ribosomal RNA
Source: RNAcentral
UGGGGAAUAUUGGACAAUGGGCGCAAGCCUGAUCCAGCCAUGCCGCGUGAGUGAUGAAGGCCCUAGGGUUGUAAAGCUCUUUCACCGGUGAAGAUAAUGACGGUAACCGGAGAAGAAGCCUCGGCUAACUUCGUGCCAGCAGCCGCGGUAAUACGAAGGGGGCUAGUGUUGUUCGGAUUUACUGGGCGUAAAGCGCACGUAUGCGGCCUUUUAAGUCAGGGGUGAAAUCCCGGGGCUCAACCCCGGAACUGCCUUUGUUUCUGGAAGUGUGGGGUAAGGUAGGGGGGAGUGGAAUUCCGAGUGUAGAGGUGAAAUUCGUAGAUAUUCGGAGGAACACCAGUGGCGAAGGCGGCUCACUGGACCAUUAAUGACGCAGAGGUGCGAAAGCGUGGGGAGCAAACAGG